This 513-nucleotide ribosomal RNA is filed under the name uncultured bacterium. RNAcentral's name for it is "partial 16S ribosomal RNA". It matches the Rfam family "Bacterial small subunit ribosomal RNA", at positions 28 to 523 of the family's 1533-position model. The record is from RNAcentral.
GACGAACGCUGGCGGCAUGCCUAAUACAUGCAAGUCGAGCGAACAGAUGAAGUGCUUGCACUUCUGACGUUAGCGGCGAACGGGUGAGUAACACGUAAGGAAUCUACCUAUAAGCGGGGGAUAACAUUCGGAAACGGGUGCUAAUACCGCAUAAUAUCUUCUUCCGCAUGGAAGAAGAUUGAAAGACGGCUCUGCUGUCACUUAUAGAUGACCUUGCGGUGCAUUAGUUAGUUGGUGGGGUAAUGGCCUACCAAGACGAUGAUGCAUAGCCGACCUGAGAGGGUGGUCGGACACAUUGGGACUGAGACACGGCCCAAACUCCUACGGGAGGCAGCAGUAGGGAAUCUUCCGAAAUGGGCGAAAGCCUGACGGAGCAAUGCCGCGUGAGUGAAGAAGGCCUUCGGGUCGUAAAACUCUGUUAUAAGAGAAGAACAAAUUGUAGAGUAACUGCUACAGUCUUGACGGUAUCUUAUCAGAAAGCCACGGCUAACUACGUGCCAGCCGCCGCAGUAA